Triticum urartu is the source of this 1555-nucleotide RNA transcript. RefSeq lists it as uncharacterized. NCBI's taxonomy places the organism in Eukaryota, Viridiplantae, Streptophyta, Magnoliopsida, Poales, Poaceae. The record is from RefSeq and is a predicted model, not a curated record.
UUGGAGAGAGAGGAUGGACUGCAGAUGCCCGAUGCAUGUGCUUGUGGGGCUUGGCUGACCGAUGCAUCGUGCGUGCCUCACCUCCAUCUGCAGUUGGAGAGAGAGAGAGAGAUGGACUGGCACCUACGACGCUCUGGUCGAUGCCGCGGCCGCCGCCGUCCACGAGCUCGGGUGCACGGUGGUGCUCACGGACCUCCACCGCUGCCUCCACGCCUUCAGCAAUUCCUGCGACCGAGCCGAGGGCCUCGGCCCCGCCGCCUCCCGCCACGACGACCUGUGCCGCGUCGUGCGCGCGGUCGACAAGGAUCUCUGGGCUGCCUCUGGCGGCCGGGAGGAGAACGAGAUGGAAGAGGAGAAGAAUCGCCCUCCGACCACGCCACCGGCGGCCGAGGACAAAUAGCCCAAUCGAUCUACCUCAUCUCCUGUUGAGGUGAUGUUCAUCGUUCUUGUUUUUUCCAUGUGAUGUGAUGUUCAUCGUUCCUCUUAUUUUCUUGGUUGAUGUGCUAACCGUGUUAGUCAUCUAGAAGAUGAAUGAAACUGUGACGGGAAAGGAGAGAUGGACUGGGAUAUUUUGCCUUGCCGUGCCGCAUGUUGGACGAGAUGCGGUAGCCCCAUGCUUUGUUCUGAUGGGCCUCCUCUGCUUGAUGGUUGCCGCUGGUUGAGGUUCAUCUUUCUCUGGUUCGCAUGUUCUUUGCCGCUGCUUUGGAUUCGUCGUGCUAAUUUCGCAUGUUUGCUUUGUUUCGUUCAUGCACAAUCUGGUAUGGUUUCCUGUUGUCGCUUGCGUCGAGCCUUGGGUCCGUCUCUCCUUCUCAUUGAGCCUACUUCUUCUGUCACUGGCGCUUCUUCUUCUCGUCCGUCAUGCUGCUUACCCAACGUGCUUCUGCUUGCUGCCUCGGGUUGUAUGAUCUCUUCUGUUGCUGCGUCAUUCGACUCAUCAAGAUGAUGUGGUUGAGUUACGAAGCCUCUUCUUGCAGUGUUGUCUGCAAGGCCGAAGGGAAGUUAUUAAUGCAUUUGAGCUACUCUAUCUGAUUGUUCAUCUCCUGAACCUGUUUUAGUUGAUAUAGAAGUGUUCUCUAUUUCAGAAAGCCACAACACGAGAUUGUGCCCCCUCUUGCUCCAGUAUUCGAUACUAUCUAUUUCUGUAGGCUAUUCCUCAUGUUGCAACCUUUUCCUGUAGAAUGGAAAGGAAGAUGGAAGAAAUUGCAGGAGGAAUGGUGUUCCCAGCGUGACAUUGAAAACCAGUACGUCAAGACUAUAAAGGGGCUGUGAAGGGCAAAAUGUUAUGGAUCCAGAGUGGGAGAUGAGUUACCAACAAUGUAUCAAGGAUAAACCGGGACAUGGAUUCCUAAGUUCCAACUUACAUAGCAAAAUUAUAUAGGGAGAAUGCCCGCAUUUUGAAAACUCUAUUACAUAGUUUGAAGCUAUGUUUCUUUCAAUUUUUAUUAUUAAAAGGAUCUAAUUAUUGCCAAUUUGUCAAGCAUUUAUUGUCGAAUAACUCUUUGUUUCAAAUGAGACCUGUGGCGCAAGAGGUAAAUUUAUUAUACAUCUUAUUGUA